Molecule: ribosomal RNA, 388 nt
Filed under: uncultured bacterium
Lineage: Bacteria
Description: bacterial SSU rRNA
Rfam family: Bacterial small subunit ribosomal RNA
Source: RNAcentral
GACGAACGCUGGCGGCGUGCUUAACACAUGCAAGUCGAGCGGUAAGGCCCUUUCGGGGGUACACGAGCGGCGAACGGGUGAGUAACACGUGGGUGACCUGCCCUUAGCUCUGGGAUAAGCCUGGGAAACUGGGUCUAAUACCGGAUAUGACUCCAUGACGCAUGUUGUGGGGUGGAAAGCCUUGUGCGGCUAGGGGAUGGGCCUGCGGCCUAUCAGCUUGUUGGUGGGGUGANGGCCUACCAAGGCGACGACGGGUAGCCGGCCUGAGAGGGCGACCGGCCACACUGGGACUGAGACACGGCCCAGACUCCUACGGGAGGCAGCAGUGGGGAAUCUUGCGCAAUGGGCGAAAGCCUGACGCAGCGACGCCGCGUGGGGAUGACGGCCU